Cyprinodon tularosa is the source of this 1027-nucleotide long non-coding RNA. RefSeq lists it as uncharacterized. The transcript has 4 exons. Lineage: Eukaryota; Metazoa; Chordata; Actinopteri; Cyprinodontiformes; Cyprinodontidae. The record is from RefSeq and is a predicted model, not a curated record.
CCGGGUUAGGUUACGUCCCGACAUGGAGCCGGGUUAGGUUACGUCCCGACGUGGAGCCGGGUUAGGUCACGUCCCGACGUGGAGCCGGGUUAGGUCACGUCCCGACGUGGAGCCGGGUUAGGUCACGUCCCGACGUGGAGCCGGGUUAGGUUACGUAGGUUACGUCCCGACGUGGAGCCGGGUUAGGUUACGUCCCGACGUGGAGCCGGGUUAGGUUACGUCCCGACGUGGAGCCGGGUUAGGUCACGUCCCGACAUGGAGCCGGGUUAGGUCACGUCCCGACAUGGAGCCGGGUUAUGGUCACGUCCCGACAUGGAGCCGGGUUAGGUUACGUAGGUUACGUCCCGACAUGGAGCCGGGUUAGGUUACGUCCCGACAUGGAGCCGGGUUAGGUCACGUCCCGACAUGGAGCCGGGUUAGGUCACGUCCCGACAUGGAGCCGGGUUAGGUCACGUCCCGACAUGGAGCCGGGUUAGGUUACGUCCCGACGUGGAGCCGGGUUAGGUCACGUCCCGACAUGGAGCCGGGUUAGGUUACGUCCCGACGUGGAGCCGGGUUAGGUUACGUCCCGACAUGGAGCCGGGUUAGGUCACGUCCCGACGUGGAGCCGGGUUAGGUCACGUCCCGACAUGGAGCCGGGUUAGGUCACGUCCCGACGUGGAGCCGGGUUAGGUUACGUAGGUUACGUCCCGACGUGGAGCCGGGUUAGGUUACGUCCCGACGUGGAGCCGGGUUAGGUCACGUCCCGACGUGGAGCCGGGUUAGGUCACGUCCCGACGUGGAGCCGGGUUAGGUCACGUCCCGACGUGGAGCCGGGUUAGGUCACGUCCCGACGUGGAGCCGGGUUAGGUCACGUCCCGACGUGGAGCCGGGUUAGGUCACGUCCCGACACGGAGCCGGGUUAGCUUACGUCCCGACGUGGAGCCGGGUUAGGUCACGUCCCGACGUGGAGCCGGGUUAGCUUACGUCCCGACGUGGAGCCGGGUUAGGUUACGUAGGUUACGUCCCGACGUGGAGCCGGGUUAGG